RNAcentral lists this small nuclear RNA (107 nucleotides) under Aotus nancymaae (Ma's night monkey). Lineage: Eukaryota; Metazoa; Chordata; Mammalia; Primates; Aotidae. The record is from RNAcentral.
AUGCUUGCUUUGGCAGCACAUAUACUAAAAUUGGAAUGAUACGGAGAAGAUUAGCAUAGCCCCUGCACAAGGAUGACAUGCAAAUUUGUGAAGUAUUCCAUGUUUUU